AGAUUGAACGCUGGCGGCAGGCCUAACACAUGCAAGUCGAGCGGCAGCACGGGUACUUGUACCUGGUGGCGAGCGGCGGACGGGUGAGUAAUGCCUAGGAAUCUGCCUGAUAGUGGGGGAUAACGCUCGGAAACGGACGCUAAUACCGCAUACGUCCUACGGGAGAAAGCAGGGGACCUUCGGGCCUUGCGCUAUCAGAUGAGCCUAGGUCGGAUUAGCUAGUUGGUGGGUAAUGGCUCACCGAAGGCGACGA
RNAcentral lists this ribosomal RNA (253 nucleotides) under uncultured soil bacterium. Its description in RNAcentral is "partial 16S ribosomal RNA". It matches the Rfam family "Bacterial small subunit ribosomal RNA", at positions 26 to 279 of the family's 1533-position model. The record is from RNAcentral.